Molecule: long non-coding RNA, 347 nt
Filed under: Elaeis guineensis (African oil palm)
Lineage: Eukaryota; Viridiplantae; Streptophyta; Magnoliopsida; Arecales; Arecaceae
Description: long non-coding RNA (EGUI_LNC036136)
Source: RNAcentral
GUCAAUUGAGGGAAAAUAUGCUUACUUAGCUUUUAUUAGCUAUUUUCUCUAUCUCUAUAAAAUUAUAUGCUAUUUGUCAAGUAAGAAAGGGUGAUCGGUUCGUUACAUAACCUAGAGUCUGGCAGCAUGCACUGGUGACGCUCCAUUUAAGAUCUUGAUGUUCUCUCAGUCAAAUUUAAAUCCAAGCCAGCCAAUUCUUCUCCACCUUUUUGAUCCCUCACUCCUAUCCAUCGUCCGGACCGCAGGGCAAGAGGCAAAGGAAGAGAGGAAAAGACGGGUGAGCCCUAUGCUGACCACCUAAGAGUGAGAGAAUGGGAGCUGGGCCCAAGAAAUAGGUUUUGACCCUA